GAGUUUGAUCCUGGCUCAGAACGAACGCUGGCGGCGUGCUUAACACAUGCAAGUCAGGGAGAAAGUCUCUUCGGGGAUGAUUAAACCGGCGCACGGGUGAGUAACACGUGAGUGACCUGCCUUUUAGACUGGAACAACUUACCGAAAGGUGAGCUAAUGCCGGAUGAGUUAUAUAAGUGCAUGUUUAUAUAGGAAAAGUUGGGGAGACCUGACGCUGAAAGAUGGACUCGCGUCCCAUUAGCUAGUUGGUAGGGUAAUGGCCUACCAAGGCGACGAUGGGUAGCCGGCCUGAGAGGGUGGCCGGCCACACUGGGACUGAGACACGGCCCAGACUCCUACGGGAGGCAGCAGUGGGGAAUUUUGCGCAAUGCUCGUAAGAGUGACGCAGCGACGCCGCGUGAAUGACGAAGGCCUUCGGGUCGUAAAGUUCUUUCGACAGGGAAGAAAAUGCCUAUAAGUAACUGUGUAUGUAUUGACGGUACCUGUAUAAGCAGCCCCGGCUAACUCCGUGCCAGCAGCCGCGGUAAUACGGAGGGGGCGAGCGUUGUUCGGAGUGACUGGGCGUAAAGAGCACGUAGGCGGUGUUGUAAGUCAUUAGUCAAAGACUAGAGCUCAACUUUAGUAAGGCUAGUGAUACUAUAAUACUAGAGUAUCAGAGAGGAUUGCAGAAUUCCUGGUGUAGCGGUGAAAUGCGUAGAUAUCAGGAGGAAUACCGUUAGCGAAGGCGGCAAUCUGGCUGGAAACUGA
This 747-nucleotide ribosomal RNA is filed under the name uncultured bacterium. RNAcentral's name for it is "bacterial SSU rRNA". It matches the Rfam family "Bacterial small subunit ribosomal RNA", at positions 9 to 743 of the family's 1533-position model. The record is from RNAcentral.